UCCUACCAAACCUAUACUGAAGAAGCUCCAAAGGAACACAGAUCAGAUUUUCUCUACUAUGUGUUUUAACUGAUAGUCAUGUCACAAUGCUUACAAGAACCCUGGUAUUUUUGUAGAAGCUGUAACCAGUGUGAUGAAACAGUUCUCAUCAAGGUAUUUGGAGAAGGGACUAAGCUCAUAGUAAUUUCUCCAGACAAAGCUGGCUCUCCCCCUAAGCCCACAGUUUUUCUUCCUUCAGUCAAUGAAAAGGAACCUCAUGGAAUUGGAACAUAUAUUUGUCUUCUUGAAAAUUUUUUCCCUGAUGUUAUUAAGGUAGACUGGAAAGAAAAGAAUGGCAACAAAAUCCUGCAGUCGCUGGAGACAAGGCCCAUAAAGACUGAUGAUAAUAAGUACAUGAAAUUAAGCUGGCUGACAGUGACUAAAACUUCAAUGGAUAAAGAACACGUUUGUGUUGUUAAACAUGAGUUUAAUAAAGGAAGGAAAGACCAAGAGAUUGUUUUUCCUUCAAUAAAUGAAGUGAAAAAGCGUUUACCGAACACCAACCAAGAUGCAACAGAAGGAAAAGAAGGUGAUCUUGAAGUGAUAGGAGAUGAAAGUGAGCUACUGCAGCUUCAGUUCAACUACAUCACUGCCUAUUACACCUACGUCCUCCUCCUUCUCAAGAGCAUGGUCUACUUUGCCAUCAUCGCCUUCAGUCUGUUCAGUGCAGGAGUUUGGAGCUAUGGAAAGAGUCCAUAACAUAGUGGCCAAAGGCUUCAACUUUUGCUACCACUUACUGUCCCUGAGAGUGUCUGCUGAGGAUCAGCUGGGCUGUUCUUCUGAGUU
Condylura cristata (star-nosed mole) is the source of this 825-nucleotide non-coding RNA. The record is from the annotation of a RefSeq genome assembly. Lineage: Eukaryota; Metazoa; Chordata; Mammalia; Eulipotyphla; Talpidae.